GCAAAAGAUCUUGAGCAACUCCGAUUCCUUGGAAUUUUGGACUGUAAUAUGAUGGAACAAGUAAUAUUCACGGAUGGAUUGGUUGAGGAACAUCAAGGGAGGAAUCAGAUGUUUUUCUUUAAUCAACGUUCGCUGUGGCUAAACGACCUUCCCAAACUCACAAGUUCGUGCUUUGAAAAUUACUUUGAAUUUCACUGUUUAGCAGAUUUAACACUAAGAAAUUGUCCAUUGCUAAAAACAUUCAUCUCUAAAUGUGUACCCGGAGAUGAACCUCAAAUUGGCCAACAUGUACAGGCAAGUAACUUGGAGGUUCAUAACUCAUCUCUCCUCAAUGAAAAGGUCAUUUCUUCACGGAUUCUCCUUUUAAUUUAUUUUACUUCGAUUUAUCUUAUUCAUUUGAAGUUCUUUCUUUUUCAUACAUAUUUCAGUAUUAACCUAAUGAUAUGAUUUAUUAGGUUGUUUUCCCUAGUUUGAAGAGGCUGCAAAUUCAAAAUUGUGAUUUGUUAGAAGAAAUUAUCGAGCUGCAAGGAGUCAUUGCUGAUGAGUCACAGUCAACAUCAGCUGCUCAAUCUAUUGUGGCUGAAACAGUGACGACCAAGUUUGUAUUUCCCAAACUAAUAAACCUGGGAUUGGAUAAGGUGCCAAGAUUGAAAAGUUUCUACUCUAGGAUGCAUACCACCCACUGGCCUUCAUUGAAAAAAAUGGACAUUAUUGAAUGCCCCAAAGUACAGAUAUUUACUCCACAAUGUCCCGGGAGUCAGGUUGGAAUCUCAAACCAACAACCCUUGUUUUGCGUCAAUGAGGUAAGCUCGCGAACAGUUUCAUAUUCCAUGAUCAUUACUUGAGAUUACCUAUAAAAUGCUUUUUGAAAAAACUAAUAUUCUCUCCUCUUUUAAUUUUAUGAGAGUCUAGUUCUUACUAAUUUAAAACUCUUUCAUCGAUGUCUAAUAUAUUCUUUGCCAUCCAGGACACUUUCCCUGUAUUAGAAGAACUAACUCUGAAGACGAAUGAUAUGGGGAAGGGGAUAUGUGAUGGACAACUCUCAUUGCAGUGUUUCCAAAACCUUAAGCAUCUUAACCUCCAAUUCUUUCCCGAGACAUCCACUACUCUUCCGUAUUCCUUCAUUCGGUCACUACCAGUGCUUCAUAAGCUUGUUAUAGACAAUGCUUCCAUUUGUCAAAUAGUACAAUCUGAAGGACUCAGCGACUAGGAAUGGCAUACAUCAGCAUUCUAUCAGCUAAAGGAAUUAAGUUUGUCUCAACUUCCAGAGUUGACGUUAAAGACUUUUGAACCAUCUUUGCUGUCUUUCAAAAAUCUAACAACACUGAAAGUUUCAAGAUGCCAUGGGUUCAUCAAUUUAAUCGCAUGCUCAACAGCUAAGUGCCUGACGCUACUGGAAAGAUUGAUCAUAGAUGAUUGUGAGAUGAUAGAGGAAAUCAUAGCGUGUGAGGCUGAAGAAAUACAAGGCGGCAUUGUAUUUCCCAAACUGAAGUAUUUGCAACUAAGUUGUCUGCCAUGUCUAGCAAUCUUUUCCUUGGCCCAUCACUUGUUGGAAUUCCCAGUCUUGCUAAUGUUGAUGGUGACAAAGUGCCCCCAAAUGAGGAAUUUCUGCCAAGGAGAUUUAAGCACGCCAAGGCUGGAACAAAUGCACUUAACAAGAGAUGAGGAAGGUGAACUGAAGUGGGAAGGCGACCUUAACACUACCAUAAAACAUAUGUUCGAUGAAAUGGUACAAAUCAUUUAAAGGAUUUAAAUUCAUGUGUUUUUACAUACAUACAUACAUAGUUAAUUGAACAAUUCCUGGUUUGUUAUGAUCAUGCACAGAAUGUGCAAAAUUCUGAGGUGACGGAGGUUACUGAUCAGUUGCCCAAUCUGGAAUAAGGAAAUAUGUUUGGGUGCUUAUGCGAAAAGCUCAAUUUCGUUUGAAUUCAAAACAAACGGUAAUUGACUCCUCUAUUUUCAUCAUGGCUUAACUAAUGCUUUAUAAAGUGACCAUAGAGACGCCCUUUUCAUUGUAGGUUGAGUUGCUCUACUGAAGUACGAGGCUGCAACUUUUGGUAAAAUGUGAAAGGUUAUUUCAGUUUUUGUAAAACUACCAUUUGAACUGUUCCAUUUCACAUUAUACCCUCAAAAUUGAACUUCAAGUGCAUCAUGCUUGGCAUUGGGCUACAAACAUGUAAACUUUUACUAGUAAGGUUGACCCCUGUUUUAAGGAUUUGCCAACUUUUGAUGGUUACCAUAUCAAUGUCAGCUUAAAGCUAUCAAGUAUCUUUACAAAUAUAAUAUAUAUAUAUUAUUCCUUAAUGAAGGAUAAAAGUAGGCAGCUAUCUAUUAAUGGUACGGCUGAUUCUGAAAAGACGGCUGAAAUUGAAUCAAUGGGUUGUUGGUAAUUGCCUGAUGGAAGAACAGGGCCUAAUGUUACGUGGAUCCUGAUCAAGUUUUAAAUUUUCAGUUGUAGGCAUUACUGAUUAUUGCCAUUUGGUUGUUGAUCCUCUGAUUUUACGGUUGACUGUCUUGCUUAUACGUUGCAAGGUUGGCGGGUCUCAAGUAUGAAUUUCCAAGCCGGCUGUCAUCCAUAAUUAACUAAGUGUUCCAAUCUGUUGAAAGGUGGUUAGCAUGCAGCAUUGAAGACCACCAUGCAGAAGCAGCAGUUUGCACGAGAAAGCAAGGAUGUUUAGUUUCAUUUGAAUUUUUUUUUUUGUUUAUGUAAUGUAAUCUAGUUCAUUUUGAACUAUGAUAAGAUGAUAUUUGAUGUAAACUUGAUGGUGAUUGAGCUGUUUACCAGCUUUAUUCAUUUGCACAAGUUAUCAUUCCAAUUUACUAGGAAACUUAGUGGUAGUAGGUAUAGUUUUGGUUAACCUACUGUCUUGACAAGCUAGAAGCUUGAUUUAUGUAUUGGCAUUAAGCCUUUUUUUGAUGAAUGAAUUUAAUCAAGUUUUCAUUCAAAAACUCUCACCAUUCUCCUUGCUUUAUUCUUUUUAGUUUUCUGCUUGUUUCUGCUGCAAGUCACGACACUUGCUGCUCAAGCAAUAGGCUGAAACUUGUUGUUAGUUGCUCUCAGCUCCAACAGAAUCCAUGGAGUUUAUGGUUUAUUAGUGUAACUGUCCAUUUGGUUGUGGAUUGGUUCUUAAGGUGUUUUGAUGCUUGUAUGUUACAGUGCCUGCUCCAAGCAACACCCUUUAAUUUCUAAUGAAUUUUAUUUGUUGAGGAAAAAAAUAUGAGGAUUAAUCUGAUAUUUUAUGUUUGGGUUUAUGAAGAUUUUUGUACCUUUAAUGAAAAAAGCAAAUAAAAUAGAGAGGUACAAGAUCACAUCCAUAGAUCAACAAAGGGGUUUAAUAUUUCUAUAAAAAAAGUUGUCCCAAAAAGGCCUUCUAAUGGGAAUUGAAAAAAAAGCUUGUAAAAAUUUACAAAAGGAAUUGAUGAGAAUCUGAUACAGCCAUCACAUGCGACAGCUUUCCCUUAAAAGCAUUCGUGGCUGAGUCUAGUCUUAAUUUUUAUUUGUAUCUUUUAUAUCCGUUUUAUAAUUCAUAUUUAAGAUUUGUAUUAUGCGCUUAAUAUUUCAUUAUUUGUUGUCUAUGAUGCUCAUUCUUGAAAAAAAAAACAAACAAACAAAUGCAAUGCAUGCAUAAACCAUAAAAAAAAUAAAGAACAUAAGCAACUAAUAAUGAAAUAUAUUAAAAUGAAGACCGGUAAUUGAUUUAAGAAUUACCCUAAUUUCGGUAAAUAUAUUAAAACAUGUGUCCCUAAUCUUUUUCAAUUUUGAUAUUGAAAAAAUUGGUAUUCUUAAAAUUAUGAGAGUUAUUCAAUUAUUUUCAUUUUUGAAAUUGAUAAAUUAAGGACAAUUAAUCACAACGUUAAUGUUUUUAUCAAUUAUAUAUGAUUUUCUUGAUAUAAUGAUAAAUUUAGUCCUCAAAGUUUACACAUUCUAUCAAUUUGUUAUUGAUUUAACAAAUUUAACCCACAAUAUUUACACAUUUCGUCAAUUUGAUCAUGAUUUAACAUAUUUAACCCGUAAUAAUUAUACAUUCUAUCAACAUUUACGCAAAAUAUAUAAUCAUCAAGGAUUAAAUUUGUUUUUAUACUAAUCAAAAUUAUGUAUAAUUAACAGAAACUAUUAGCGCUUGAUUAAUUGUUCGUGGUUACUUUCAAAAAAGAUAAGGAUUAAUUUGUUCAAUAUCAAAAAGAUGUUUUUUAUUUUUAUUUUUUAAUUUCAUAGGUAAGAAAAUCUCAAAAAAAAGAAAAUCUUUGAAAUAAAAAAUAGAAUGUUUUAUAUAAUUAUUUGAAGUUACUCUCACGUUAUUUUUACCCAUUCAAAGCUAGCAAGUCUUUAUGUACAAAAUGGUAUAGCUCUGCAAUUUGGAUUAACAUUUUGGUGACCUCCAUGUGAAGUGAAAGAAAAUUGAGAAUGUCACACAAUUAUUAUUUUUGCCUCCAUACCCCUAUGCCACCAAAGAAAGUUGAAUUAUUAAGGCACAAAAGUACUAAGGAGUAGGAGCUAGAAAAAGAGGGGCAUGAAAAUAAAGAGACUUACAUUUAUUAUUUGCAUAAUACAAAAUCAGUCUUUAAUAUUUACAUAUUUUAUUAAUUUGAAUUUUAUUUUUAUUUAGUUAAAUUUAACUUUAAACCCUUUAAAAAAAGUUAAAUUUGAUCAUCAACAUUUUAAAAAGAGUCAAAUUAUUAUUUAACGGAAAUGUUAAAUUUUGAAAUACAUAUAACAAUUCGCGUGUAUUUCAUAUUAUUUUUUUAAAUUUUUUAUAUUUUUUUGAAAUUUUUAUUUUUGAAUAUUGUUAGAAAAAUAUUUGGAACAUUGUUAGUGGAGUUUUUAACCUCCACCAACAAAAUUAAUGGGUUAAUAAGUGUCUUACAGGGAUAUAAUAAAAUAUUAAUAUAUAUAUAUUAAAAUAUAUAUAUAUAUGUUAAUUUUUUUAAAGUUGUGGAAUAAAAAUAAUAUAUUAUUGGCAUACCAAAUACUCACCUUUUUAAUUAAGAUUUAAAAAUAAAAAAUAGUUAGUAAAAUGAAUGGAUUGCAAAUUGAGAAAUUUGAUAUUGAAUAUUAAAAUUUUCUUAAAAAGAAGACAUAUAGCAAGAUAAGAAAGUUAGUGAUUUAUUUGAUUUAAUUUUAAUUUUUAAAUUGAUGCAUUUUAUUAUGAAUUUUUAUUCUUUGUGUAUUUUGUAUAAUUUGUUUGAAAUUUUCAAUUUUCAAUUUCUCACAUGAGUUUGAGAUAUAAAAAAAAUUACUCUUAGGAUUGGUGAAACAGUGGAUACAAGAGUUCAGCUUAUCAUAUAUUGAUGAUUUUGUUCUUCGAAAUAUUGUCUACAGAUAGGAUAUCAGAGUUCUAUUAAUUAGAGUUCCGUUAAAAAGUCGAAAUUUCUAUUUUAGCCUAGGACUCUAGGAGUUCUGUUAUCGAUAUUCUAAUUAUGAUCAUGAUCUAUAAAAAAUAUGAGUAACAUGUGAUACGUAAAUGAAAAUUUUUAUGAUAUGAUAAGUCAUAAAUUAAGUGAAAAUGUAUGAAAGUGUAUGAUUAUAUGAAAGACAAAAAUAAUUAAUUUAAUUUAAUGAUCUGUAAAAUUGAAAAAUGAAAUACAUGAAUUAUAUAAGAGAAUGUUGACGAUCAAUAUGUGGUAUGUAAAUGAGAAGGAAAAAAUUAUAUGACCAAAUACUAAAAUAAAUGAAUAAUGAAAUUAACUAAAUACUUUGUAAGUUCAAUAAUUUAAAAAAUUGUUAUUUUUCCCAUUCAAAGUUGAAAAGUCUUUUAUGUGAAAAAUAGUGUAGCUCUUCAAUUUGGGUAUAACAUUUUGGUCUUCUCCAUGUGAUGUGGAGGAAAAUUGACAACAUCACACAAUCAAAUCCAUUUUUUCUGCCAUACCCUUGUGCCUCCGAAGAAAGUUAAAUUAUUAAGGCACAAAAGUACCAAGGAGUAGAAGCUACCAAAAGAGGAGCAUGAAAAUAAAGAGAGAUACAUAUAUUACUGGCAUGAAAUAUUUACAUUUUUUAUUAAUUUGGAACUUCUUGCCUUUUACUACUAGCUUGAUUUGUAUCAUCGCUCUCACCUUUUUGAGCUUGUAUCUGAUAGUGAAACCAAAGAUUAGUGAAAGCCUUCGCACCAAAACUGAGUUCUAGGAACUGCAAUAGGAUCAAUUUCAACAACUCUAAUGGGAUAUUAAACAUUCCCAACUCUUAAGAUCACCAUCUCAUCAAUUUUACACAAUUAAAAUGAAUGUUUCCCUUCACAAAAGGUUUAGGAUGAGCAGCACCAUCGUCCACACUAAUAAAACUUCCCCAGUGAUUGGCGAUGUUUUUAAAUGUAGAGAUCGGACAAGCAUGGAUCGGAACCCCUAAAGUUGUUCUAUAAUUAACCAAAAUGUUUUCAGACCAUGACUCAACUUUUGUGAACCACCUCAUCGAAAUUUCAAUAAACUCUUUUAUAACCUUCUCCACCGUUAAACUCCAUUAGCAACUUGGAGGCCACCCUCUUCUAACCGCAGAGCAAGGUUCUCAAGAGUACAUAAAUCUCUACACCAUCCCAUAAUACAAAUUGUAGCUUAGAAAGUUUUUCUUCCUCGAUAAUCCCAUCUAUAGGAAUUGACUCUAUCUCUUUCUUACCUGUAGCCACCUCCUCCAUGAAACAAUUCUUGUUUAUAGCUUUUUCACCUCCGAGGGUUCCACUCGUAUCUAGAGAAUCCUUUGAUACCUCCAGAGCCUUUGAAGCGUGCAAAGUUGACCCAUAUUCUAUGUCCAAAUAAAUGGAACCGUUCAGACGAAGCGUCGCCCUUCUUGCAUCAGUAAAGUUUGCGAAUCUCACAAAACCAAAUCUUUCUCCUUUUUAUGAAGACAUCCAUAACCCUGCCGUGAUACUCGAAUAUCUUCCAAAGACCUGUCCAUUGCAUUCGUGGAGGACGAUUCACUACAAAAACAGUAACACAACUCUGUCCAGUGUCCACCACCCAACCCAUUACUCAUUAAUAAAACUCCUACUUCAUCACUUAACUAAAGCUUUCUUUUUGAUAUUUUUAUAUAUUUUAAUUUUGUUUUGUAUUCAAAUAAUUUGAUAAUUAACUUUUAACAAUUAUCCCAUAGUUUUUACUAUAAAUUUAAGGAAGACAAUCUUGAUAAAAUUAGUUUGAGGUAGGAACAGUUUAUUGGAACAGCGUAGUCUUUUAUAGGAUUAAAAAUAUUAAUGCAAGAAAUAAAAAACAAGUGAUUAAAGGUUUAGAACAAGCAAUCAAACUUAUUUUAUGUUAAAAUUUUCGAACAAUAUGAAAAUAUAUAAUUUUAAUUGUUCUUUUACCAAUUAAAUUGAUUUUUGACAGGUUUAACUAUUGACUUAAAAAAGAGUGUUAAUUUGAAUGGUUAAAUGUAAUGAUGCAUGGUUUGUCUGACAUCGUCACAUGGAAAAUGGGAUUAAAAAUGGAAAUUAAGCAAAGGCAAAAUGAAUAUAUUUAUUGUUUUCUAAUUUGGUGUAGGGUGCCAUAUUUGUUGAUAGCCACUCACUAAUACAUUAUAAAUGGAAUAAUUGCCUAUUUUACCUUUUUCAUGAAAUUUAUUGACAUCACCAGCUCAUUUUUCAACCACAUUACUCAAAUGAUUGACAGAGAGAGGUAAAAGUAAUUUAUAAAUGUAUUUCUUUUUUUUCGAGUAUAAUUUGUAUUUAUUUCUAGCCAUUUUUAUAAAGUUAUUGUUUAAAAAAGGGGUAAUUAUCAAAUUCAUAUAUGAUUUGGAUCCAAUGUACAAUUUGAUACAAACUACAAUUUGGUGUAAUUAUACACAUAAACUUGAAUUGUGAUUCAUAUGAGCACAUGAAACUUUGAUUUUGAUUCAAUUGUAUGCAUUUAAUGAAUGUAUACGUUUAAAAAAAAUGAAUAUUUACAUUUAUUUUCAUAUUUGAUUAUAUACAGGGGCGAAACCAGAAAAUUCUUUUAGGGGGCUGAAAUUAAAUUGUAAUUUUUACGAUAGCAAAAAUGUAAUUUCACCAUUUUAAUGGCCUAUAUCUUUAUAAUUUUUAAAUGAUUAAAUCAAAUUUUAUAUUUUUAGCGGAGCAAAGUACAAUUUUACCUUUACUAAUUUAAAAUUUUAAAAGGCCUAAAUAGAAAAUUCACCAUUUCAAGGGGACUGAGACUAGAGGUGAUCAUGGGUUGGGCCCACCCGAAAAAUAGGAGGGUCCAAGUAAAAAUAUAGACCCAAAAUAUGGGUUUCGGCAAAAAAAGAAGCCCGUUUAAAAAACGGGCCGGGCUCGGGUAAAAAUUUUUUGGCCUAGGCCCAACCCGACCCGGCCCGAAUUAUAUAUUAAAUAUAUAUAGUUUUUAUUUUUAAUCAAAUAUGUAUUAAAUAUAUACUUUUUUGGUGUUGUACAAUUUGAUAUGGGUUGGGCUCGGGCUUAGCAAUUUUCUUUUGGGCCGAGCUUGGAUAAAUUUUUAGGCCCAUAUUUUGGGCCCAGCCAAGCCCGAGCCUAAAAAAUGGGCCUAAAAUUUUGUCUGGGCCCUGCUCAGCCCAUGAUCACCUCUAACUGGAACCCCUGUCAGCCCCUUAGUUUCGCCCCAAAUUAUAUAAUAGUUUGUAUAUGCAAUAUAUCAACGUAAAAUUGUGCUAAUUCAAUAAUAUUGUUAGUGAUUUCUGAAAAUUGAAUCAAAUCAAUAUUUCAUAUAUAAAAUUGUACAAAAUCAAAGUUCAUAUACAACAUAAAUAAAUAAAUAAAAAGUUCAUAUAGAACAAUAUACAUUAAAUCAAAAUUUAUAUAUAAUUUUGAUAUUUAUCUCAUUCUUUAUUAAUUAUAACGUGUGAACGAGGUGAAUCCAAAUUUUGUCAUUUAUUUUCCUACCAUCUUUGCGAAAUAAAUUUCAACUUAAGAAGGAAAAAAUAAUUAACAUUUUCAAAUUCUAUCAAGAUAGACAUGUUCAUAGGUCAGACUCUCGGCUUAGGUUCAAAAGUUCACUAAAAUUUUGGGAGGGUUUGGAUAAAAAUAUCAUACCCAAAGAAUGGACUCGAGCAAAAAAAAAAGACCUGUUUAAAAUAUGGGUCGGGCUCGGGCUUGAAUAUUUAAGGCUAGACCCGUUUUAAGUUUAUAAUUUUUUAUAUUAUGUUAUUUUUUAUAUAUUAUGUAAUUUAGAACACAAUAAAAAAUAAACAUAUAGUAAAUAUAUAAUAUAACUCUAAUGUAAACAUUAAAAUAAUAUUAAAAUGACUAUAUAAAAAAUUUCAAUAAAUAAAAAUGUAUAAAUAUUAAAAUAAUAUAAUAUAAAUACUUUUUAAAAAAAUUAAAAAAUAAUAUAAGCGAACCUAAAAUGGGUUUAGAUUAGUUUUUUGUAAAUAUGGGAGUGUUUUGACAAAAUUUUAGGCCUAAAUUUCAAACCGGACCGAACUUAAACAAAUAUAAAAUAUCUUAAUAUCAUGCUUAAACCAACCUAUGAACACUUCUACAUAAAAAUAAUAUAGACGAAUUGAUGUCGUUUAGUUCCACAAGGUCAAACUUCAAAUUAAUACGAGUGUAUUAUUAAAAGUUUUCGUCCUCGCAUUACUUGUAAUUAGUUUAUGUCUUUUAAUUCAUUGAGAAGUAACAAGCAUGUAUGGAUGUCCAUUGUACAGGCCCAUUUUGACCUAAUCCAUUACAACCCAUAACCCAAGCAAAAACAAAACCUACCCAGGCCCAACUAAGCCUAACCCACCAAAACCAAAGCCCAAAUCAGCAACCCAAUUCAGCCCAAUCUACCUAACCCUAGCCAAUUUGUAGAAAAAAGAAACAGCAGCCACCCUAGGUGCGCCGCACCUAGGGCCUUCGUCCACCUACCCCCUGCCACCGCCUCUGACCAGCGCCGCACCUGCUCUCUGCCAUCGCCCAACUGCACCUGCAAGAAGAGAAACCAACACGCAACAACAAAUAGUAGACAUAGAUAAAAAAAAUGUUAAAAUCGGCUAUAAAAGCCGAAACCAGAGGAAUGUAAAGGGUUCGGCCCCUCUUUGACGAUUAAAAGAAAUAAAAGUUUUUUGAAAAUCUUAAAGGUGACUACUACCUUUUUAGAUCUGUUUUUUUUUGUUCUUUUAAAUAUUAUUUUUGUUUUUAAAUACAAACAAAUUAAAAAUAAGAAUAAAGGAGAAGGCUUUUUACCUUACCUGCGCCGCGACGGAGGUGGAGGAAGGCGAACGGUUUCGCCCCAUUUUUUGGGUCUUCGGCUUUCUAUUCAGGAGAUUCAGCCCCGGAUCUGUGGCCUGGAGGCCAUGGACUUCAAAAAAGGACGAAAAAGGUCCGAUUUUGAACCUCCGGCGGCCACACACGGUGGCUCUGCGGCGGAGACUCGUCGGAAAUCUCGAGCCGGACCAUGGCCGGACCUGAGAGAAAAAGAGAGAGUUUUCUCUCUGUUUUUUUAAAAAGAAGAUGAAACUGUUUCUUUUAGCUUUUUUUAGUAUUUAUAUUAAACGUGAAACGACGCCGUUUUAGCAAAAGGAUCCGCGCGUCGACCCGACCCGACCCGGAGGAUCCGCGUGUUUUCAGUUUUUGGGAUAUUUCGCGUGCAGUCCCCCUGAUUUUGCAGCGUAUUACAAUUUUAUCCUUUUGUUAUUUUCUCUUAUUUUUAAUUUAGCCCCUGCAAUUUUAUUUUUAUUUCGACUUGGUCCAUUUCAACGCUGCGUUUUGGGGCUGUGGUUUAUUUGCAGUUUUGGCCCUUUCCUUUUCAGCGCGCGUUGCAAUUCGGUCCUUCUUGUUUUUUUAUUUCAAAUUUGCCUAGUAUAUUUGUUUUUAUUUUGAUUUAGUCCCUUUUUAGCAAUCUUAUUUAUUUUGAUUAAUUAUUUUAAUGUAUUAUCAUUUAUUAUUAUUAUUGUUGCAUUUAUUAUUCUGAUUAUCAUUUACCCAUUCGCAUCGUUUUUGGAUUUGGUUAUACAUACAUACUUAUAUAUAUUUUUAUAUUUUAUAACUUAUAUACAUAUAUCUAUAUUUAUAUUCUUUACCUUCACAAAUAUAUGUAUACGUACCUAUAUAUAUAUAUUAUUUUAUAUAUAUACAUCCUUUUACAUUUUUAGGUUUUUAUAUUUUGUUCAUUAUUUAUUUAUUUAUUUACAAUUUUGUUAUUAUUUUAAAAGAAUGCUUUAACUUUAUUUGCUUAUAUAUUCAUUUUGUAUGCUAUUGAUUUGUCUUUUUUUAUUUAUCUUAUCUUUGAUGCUAUUGCUCGUGUUAUUUUACUUGCAUUAUCAUCAUCAUUUCAUUAUACCCAUUUUUAUUUAGAUUUCGAAAAAGAAAUUUUAGAAAUAAGUAAUAUUCGGUAUUUUGGAUCUUCGAGAGAAUCGAGCCCUAACGUAUUGGGUUCCGACUUUCUUCGUUGAACUUAAAUAAUUGAGAUUAUUCUUUUAAAAAUGAUAAAAAGCUCGUUACCGAGAAUUCAAUAUGUUGUGUCCUAACGCAUUGGAUGUGACACGUUAUUUUUUCGAAACGAGAAUUUUUCUAAAUAAAUGUAAUAUUCAAUGUUUAAUAUUUUGAGAAAUUGUGCCCUAACGUAUUGGGUUGCGAUUUCUUCAUUUGAUUUAAACAAUUGAAUAUUCUUUUAAACUUUAUUACACGAAUUUUUUCAAACUCAAGUUAAACGAUAUCGGGAAUUAAAAAAAGGAUCGUGUCCUAACUUACUGGUCGCGAUAUCUUUUUUUAAUCCAAGAUAGUUAAAUAUCUUUUAAAUAAGCAUUUUUCAUUCGCGUAUCGGGAAUUCGAGACAUUGUGUCCUAACUUAUUAGAUAUGAUUCUCUUUCUCGAAUAGCGUGAAAUAUGCCCCUUUUUCAGAAAUUUUUCAACGUUUUAAUACAAGGAUCGUAUUUUUAAAAUUCUUCAAAGUUCUCAAUUUUCGACAUUAAGACAUUAAGUAGUCAAUUAGGUACCAAUUUUGGGCGUAUCGAGGGUGCUAAUCCUUCCUCGUGCGUAACCGACUCCCGAACCCGUUUUUCUGAAUUUCGUGGACCAAACUUGUUGUUUUAAUAAAAUCAAACCGUUUAUUAAAAACAACUAAUUUUAAGGUGAUCCAAUCACACCUCAUAAAAAAGGAUUGGUAGCGACUCCCGUUUCUUUUUUCAAAACCCAAGUCGACCCCGUUUUCCAUCCAAAAAAUGGUGUCAACAUCCAUCUUCUACCAUAGUUGUCUUCUAAAGAACUUUAUAAAGGGAAGCUAUGCCACUCUAUUUAAGGGUUGGUUUUGGAGAUUAAAGUGUAAUUUUAUCAUCAUAUUAACUUAAGUUUUUUUUUUAAAUUUAAAAACGUGUAAAUGGUAAAUUUACUAUUUUUGGAAGGUCAAGGCUAUUGCUUCCCCUUAUCUUUGCCCUGCUAGUAGUUGACUAACACGGUCUCAUACAGUAAUACUCUUAUCGAAUAUAAAGCCUUGUUUAAAUGGAGAUAUUUAUAAGAGGAAAAAUACUAAAUAAUGCAAGCUCGCCCAUGCCUGGUCACUGUGAGCCCCUUUGUGAGGAAGCACCUGAUCUUCUCUCGAAGUUACGAGGUUAUUUUGUCAAGUUCUUUAGAGAGAGUUGUCUCACACCCCUAGGUAUUCUCUACCUACCCACUUGUGUCGGUUUUGGGUACACGUACCCUUUUGAUGAAGGUCGUUCAAGCUUUUCCUGGAAGUAUAAUUUUUACUUCCACUUACAAUUUCAUAAAAUAAUAAUUUAUCAAAUCAAAAUUAUUCAAAUACAAAUUCAAAAUAUUUGAAUCAAAAUUAAAUUGGAGCUCCUCACUCAGGCUUCUACUUUUGUGCAUUGAUAAUUCAGUGGCAGCACUUCCCCCUUGCCUUAAUUGUUGAAAAUUGAAUAAAAAUUGUACCUUUCAUUUCCUUCCCUCAGACAAGUUGUUCAUUGUUGCUCCCACUCUUCAGUCUUCUCUAAAAUAAUGUAGGAAUCCCAAGUCACUAUAAUUAGGUGAUGAGGAUGGUACUUACUUUUUUUCCAAUAUCAGGGUAUUUAUCGUUAAUAAUAGUGAUUGAUUUUUUUUGUUGCGAAUUUGUACAAGAGCUUAUGUAAGAGUUUAAUAUAGUUCAAUGAUUAUUUUAUAAUUUUUUAAAGUUAAAUAAUCAAAAUAGAAAUUAAUUAACAAUUUAGCUAGAGAGCUUACACGUAGUUUACCCAAAAACAUAUCGACAUGAUCCCCCAUUGGAGUCCGAAGCCAAAGCUCACAAAUUGGGUUAACAUUUGACAUUUGGGGUUUCAAAUUGAGAAUUAAUUGAAAUAGAUAACAAUUAGCAAUUAAUUGAGAAUAAACAAAUUAUAUUCCAUAUAGUGUAGUAUUGAAUAUAUGUUUACUUCAUUAAAGGUCUCUUUUUUAUUCAAUUAAUUUCUCCAACUCAAAUUUAGCAACUUAUUAUGGUACUAUGAGAUUAUAAGAAUGGUUUUUGGAAGUAAAUCAGUGAGUGAAGUUGUAAAAUUACUGAUUUUCGAUUUAAUUACUUUAAUCAUUGGUCUAGUUUCAAUUAAAAAAUUUAUUCAUGAUUUAGCCUAUAAAUUAUAUAUAUUCUCUCACUUUAGUCUAGUUUAGACUUGCCUAUGGCCCUGCUCGAAUGUCCACCUGAAAAGCGAGAUGAUUUAGGUAAAUAUAUAUGCCCAAAAAGUUGGUCUGGAUAAAAAAAUAAUGCUCGUUUUCUAAACGGAUUGGGUCUCAGGUAAGCUUUUCUUGCUCAACCUGGCCCGAAUUUGCAAAAAAAAAAACUAUUGUUGUUUUUUUUACUAUUUUAUCAUUGUUUUUCUAUCAUUUCGUUAUUAUAUUGCUACUAUUUUAUUAUUAUUGUUUGAAUAAUGCAUAACUCUUGUUUUAUUACUAAUUUUGCUACUAUUUUAGGGAUAUUUACUUUUUAAGUUACACUUAUCUCAGUGUUAUAUAUUUAAGUAUUUUUUUUUAAUUUUCAUUUGUUCGGAAACAUUUAUUUCAAAUUUUUUAGUGUAUUUGAUGAAUUAUUUUUUAAAAUUUAUUUUUAUAUUAAAAAUAUAAAAAAUUAAUAUGGGCAGACUAGGCUUUUAACAUUUUAAUCUAAGUUGGGCUUGGAUAAAAUUUUAAGCCUAUUUUUCGAGCUGAACCGAGCUCAGGCCUAGAAAUUAGGCCUAAAUUUUUUACUUGGCCCUAUCAACCCAUGGACAACCCCAGUCUAGUUUCAGUUGGGAAUGAGAAUUACUACUAUUUUGUUGUUAUUAAAUUGUUAAACCAUUGUUUUUUUUUUUUGGUGCCACUUCAAAAAGCCAUUGGGCCUUAGUCAAGACGAGGUAACAUAGAAUAGUUCAGGGUCCUAACUGGAAAAUAUCCCACAUUGAUUAUUGUGAUGUAGAAAGUGGAAAAUAUGUAACGAGCGUCAUUGGAAAGAUGUAUGUCAAACUAGUGGAGCCAUAAAUUGGUAGUUUUCUAAGGUUGGUUUCAAAAUGAAGGGGGAGCUCCCAAGUCAAAAUAAAAUUGUUUAGUAUUUUUUAGUGUUUCCCUUUUAGACAGGUUAAAUUGUGUAUUUAUAUGUAGGGGUGUUCAUUCGGUUAACCGAUCGGUUAAUCGAAUCGAACUUUUUUAAAAAAAAUUAACCGAACGAAAUUUUUUCGGUUAAUUCGGUCGGUUAAUCGAAAAUUAUAUGUUUUUUUAUUUUUGGUUAAAAAUUAACCGAAUUAACCGAAUUAACCGAAUUCCCGAAUUACCCGAAUUAACCUAAUUGAAUCAUACAUAAUUAAAUUAUUUUUAGACUUUAAUACUUUAGUUUUAGUUUUAGUUUUAGAAUUUGUUUUUAUUUAUUAAAUUAUUUGUAAAUUUUAUGAUUGGGUUGGUUUGGGUAAUUGGGUUGGAUUGAAUACUUGGAUUUGGAUUGGGUUUAGGUGAAUAGUGGACCUAUUUAUAUAUUAAUAAUUUUAUUUAUUAAUUUUUUCGGUUAACCGACCGGUUUCGAACCGAAUUAACCGUUAACUGAAAAUUCAUAAAAAAAUUAACCGACCCCCGACCGAAAAAAUUCGGUUAACCGACCGAUUACCGAAUUUUUUCGGUUUUACCCGAAUUAUGCACACCCCUAUUUAUAUGAUAUGAUUACUGUUCACAGAUAUGAUAUCGUAGGUAGGUUCCCAUGCAAAUCAACGUAUACCCUACUUUAGGUUAACAUGUAUUUAUAUGAGGUGGAUUUACAUAGUGCAAACCCACAUCAUGCUGUCUCGUAGAAGGUUGCAAACACCUUACAUGCGAACUCAAAGUGCGAACUGUAAUGGAUCAGUAAUAGUGAAUAUCAUAACAAAAGUAAAUUAAAAUAUUUAAUUCCUUCCAAAUAUUAAUUUCAAUAAUUAUUCAACUCCUAUUAUUUUAUCCUUUUGUAUAUUGAAUUCCUCUAAGCAAAGAAAAUAUCCAAAUUAAAAUUUUUAAUUUUUUUAGACAUAAUAUCAAAUUUAACCUUCAACGUUUACAUUUUUUUGUCAAUUUGGCAAUUAUUCUUUUUUGAGCUAAAUUUGACCCUUAAUCUUUCAAAAAAGAGUCAAAUAUUUUUUUAUGAAAUCUUUUUUUAAUGAAAACAUUAAUAAAAACAUUAAUUUUUUUAACAAUAAUGGUGUGGCAACCCGCAUGGUAGUCCACGUAUACUUCCAUACUAGUAUGACACUAUUUGUAUUAUAUGUCAUGUCAACAAAUAAUUUUAAAAAAGUAUUUAAAAUUCAAAAAAUUAUAAAAAGCUCAUAAUAUGUAAAAUAAAAAAGCAUGAAGUACAUAUAGAUUGUCAUUCAAACUAUCAUAUUUGAAAAUUUAAUGUUAUAAUCGAAAUUUUUUUUAAAAAAAUAACAAUUUAACUCUUUUAAAAUAUUAAUGGUUAAAUUUAACUUUUUAAAAAAAAUUGAAAGUCAAAUUUAGCUCAAAAAAUAAAGAUUAAACUGACAAAAAAUAUAAAUGUUAAAAGGUUAAAUUUCAAAUUAUAUCAUUAUUUUAUUAAACAAACCUUAUUAAAAAUGUAUUUAAAUUUUAUAAAUCUUAUUAAAAUAAUAUUAAUAAUUAUUCAACUCCUCCACACAAAGAAGCAUCCAAAUUAAAAAUAUAUAUUUAAUUCCUUUCAAAUAUUAAUUUGUUCAACUUCUUAAAUUAAGUAAUUAAUCAAUUUUCGUUUUAAACAAAAAACCGGAUAGGAAAACCAUCAUUUUCUCGGGAAACAAACAGAGAAAGCUGCAAACUUUCCAAAUAUAUACCUUACUCGAAAAUCUGCCACGUCUUAUCCUUGAUAUGAUGGUUUCUAACAUUGCCACUUGGCAAGUUAUUCAGUAACAAUGCCAAUCUGCCACCAUUAUGCUUUUCCUUGCAGUACAAAAUUCCAGGAUGCCUUUACUUCUUUUGCCUCUUGGAUCAGCAUUUACUAUCACCAAAAUCAAAAUCCCAACUUUGAAAAAAAAAAAGUUUAAUUUUUAUCCUUUUUUUAAAAAAAUUUAACAAUUUUUUAUUUUCCAUUGUCAACCUUGUAAAAUUCUUUUAUAUUUUUAUGUUUUUAGUGGGAUUUUUACAUUUGUUCCAAAUUAUCAGUUUGUCAAGUUCUUCAUGCUUUCCAUGUCCCAAAGGAUCACAUUUUAUUUAAGAAAUAGAAAAAGACAUUAUUUUUGUUCUUCAUGCAACUUAUAAGUUAUAGAGAAUGAAUUUCUUUGAUUUUAGCAACUAAUAUUAUGAUUCCAACAUUUAGGGUUUUAUAUGUUUUUUUUUCUGUAUGAAUUUGAACUUGAGUUAGCCAUAAAAACCCCACCUUUAAUCUCAAUAUAUGAACUUGGCUUUGCUUCUUAUGGUUAUUAUUGUUUAAUUUAAUUAAUGUCUUGAAAGGGUAUUCUAGUUUAAUUUAAUUAACUAGUCCAUUUAUUUUGAUUGAUAAUGAUGUUGCAGGUGCUUAAUCUUUCCAUUGAAAUGGAGAAAAUCAACUACCAGGACGAGCUGAAGAAAGAGCGUAGGCUUGUUCGGAGUCUCGUAUACGAGAUCGGUUACAGGAAGGAACAGGUGUCCGAAAUGGAACAUAAAUAUGACAAGACAACCACGGCUUUUCAAGAACUCGUUGAUGGCCUUGUAGCGAAAAUUGACUCCAAGGACAGUAGUUUGCGGGAUUGGGAGCUUCGAUAUAAGGAAAUGGGGAAAUGGUACAUAAAUAUGAUGAGACGACCGCAGCUCUUCAAGGACUCGUCGAUGGCCUUGUAGAGAAAAUUGACUCCAAGGACAGUAGUUUACGGGAUUGGGAGCUUCGAUAUAACGAAACCGUGAGACAAUUGAAGGGCGAGAACGCGGUGUUUCACCUUGUGUUUGCUAAAGGUAUACUUUAGAUUAUAUAUUGCAUACAUAGCGAGCAGAAGACUAUGCAUUAAUCCAAUCGUGUACGAUGAACAACAUGUCGUUUUCGAAGUUCCAAGGUUUGCAUUUAGAGCUUUGAUUGAUCUUUAGGCUAUUUUACACAUCUAGUUGCUUAGUAUUAGAUUCGGUGAAGAAGUUGCAACUUUAGGAUAGUGAAGGAGACAUAAAUGUCAGGAUUCGAACCCCAAACUCUGCUUUUAUAUCUGUUAUCACGGGAACCGGAUGAACUUAUGGAAACGAGGCUUGGAACCUAAAAGGAAGCAUAUAUAUUUGAGAUAUUCCGAUUUUCUUCCUGUUGCUAAUGCUUCUAUCAUACACAUUAGGAUUAUGUGAUCUUAUAUAUAUACACACGCAUAUAUACGAGAUACUGAUGAAUUUCUGCCUCCUGUUAUUGCUUAUAUCAUAUGCUUUAUGGACUGUUGCUUUACAUUUUUUAUGCAGAAAUUCAGAAGGAAAGGGAUGAAAAUCUUAAGCUGAAGUGCCAACCUGGCUUUCGAACCAAGUUGGUCGAAGAUUAUAUAUCUCGUAAUGAUAACGAUAUGGAACGAAGUAGCUUGUUGAAUGAAAUGGAAGGGGUUAGCAUACUCAUCUUAAUUUUGGUUUUCGAUAUAUGAACUAUCUUUUGUCGAGUUUGUACCUUUGUGUAAAUGAAUCCUGUUAUCAUGUUUAGGUUCAACGUUUUUAAUGGUUAUGAUUUGCCGAGUAGACUUUUAACAAUUCGGAUUAUAUCUGAUAUAGCCGAAAGAGAAUGUGGCUUGCCAAAAUCUUAUUGAACUCGAGAAAACUACAAGCGAGCAGAUUACUGCUCUAAAGAAAGAGUUGGAGGAAAAAUCAGAAGCGUUGAAAGAUAUGGAAAACCGAAACAGUUGUCUAACGGUGAAACAAGUCCUAACUAAUCAAGAGCUGCAAGAUGUUCGAAAAGAAUCCAUACGUGUAUUUUUCAUGUUUUCCUUUGCUUCCUCCUAUGUUUCCUCUUCGAAAUCGGGUUUAAACUUGAAAGUGUUAAACCCAAGACUUCUCUGGUUUUUGAUGUGCAGGGUUUGAACGAUUUUCUGAAUAACCAGACUAAUCUUAAGAGUGAAAAGAACGGGAGAGAUUGAUCAAAAAGCAUUCAAAGUUGCUUGCUCGUUGAAGUUCCAGGACGAAGAUUGGCGAGAACCGUGUGCUAAAACAUGUUCAUUAUGUUGUUCCAAUAGGGUCGGAAGCGUGUAAAUUAUUGUACUAAAAAAUCACAAAAAGUUCAAUUCCCAGGGAAGAGAGGUGGAUCACAUGGAUCUCUUAAAUACCAAGUCUUUUCUUAGACAGAAUAUCCCUUCUAUAGUAAUUUAAUAGCACAAUUAAAUACUACUAUUAUACCCUCAAAUAUUGAAAGAAAAAUAGGACAAGAAAGAACACAAGAGAUUUAACGAGGUUCGGUAAAUUAUACCUACGUCCUCGGGCACUAACACCAGAUGAUAACUUUACUAUCCCCAAAGUAUUACAAACAAAUAGAAUUCCUUAAGAAUUCUCAAAUGGGAGAAGAGAGAAAACUAAGAGAGAAAGAUUGGUUGGGAUGAAUUGAAAUGAGAAAUGAGAAGGCCUAUUUAUAGUUGAGGUUCAAGGACCAAACAAUAAAUAGCACAUUAUCUCAAGGACCAAAAAAAAAUUAUCCCUUGCCACUUUUCCAAAGUUGGUGGUUGUCAUUAUUGAUUGUCUCCCAUUAAUGUUAAUGGCAACCAUUAUUAAUUGUCUAUCAUUAAUGUUAACAAUCUCCACCUUGAAGAUUUGAUUAGGAUAAUCACAUCUUCACACACUUCCUUCAACUCCCUAAAUUCGAUAAAGCUAUCUUUUGUAGUGCCUACAAAUGCGCUCUCGAGCGCCAUACACCUGAAGGUGCUCAAAUUCUCAGGAUGUUAAUCAAGUUCAAACAAUGAUUAAACUUGAUUGUUGUUACCACCUUGGUCAUCAUAUCUGCGGGAUUAUCUGCUGUCGGAAUCUUCUAAAGUAGAAUUUUUCCUUUUUCAAAGACUUCUCGCACAAAGUGAUAUCUUACGUCAAUAUGCUUGGUUCUUGAAUGAUAGACUUGAUUUUUCGCUAAAUGAAUAGCGCUCUGACUGUCACAAUAUAAACUUAUGUGACUUUGAACAACUCCUAAGUCUUUCAACAAUCCAUUAAGCCAAAUAGCCUCCUUAACAGCUUCUGUAACUGCCAUAUAUUCUGCCUCUAUAGUAGAUACAGCUACUGUAGACUGUAAGGUAGACUUCCAACUCACUGGGGCUUUCGCAAGAGUAAACAAAUACCCCGUAGUUGAACGACGUUUAUCUAAAUCACCAGCAAAGUCGGAAUCAACAUAUCCAACUACAAACUGACCAAGUGCUUCAUCCUGUUCAAAAAUUAAACCAACAUCUACGAUUUUUCAAAGAUACCGUAGAAUCCAUUUCACAGCUUGCCAAUGUCCUUUUCUAGGAUCAUGCAUAUACCUGCUCACAACUCCAACAGCUUGUGAAAUGUCAGGCCUCGUACACACCAUCACAUACAUCAAACUCCCAACUGCAUUAGUAUAUGGGACUUUCGCCAUAUAUUCUCUUUCUUCUUCAGUUUUCAGAGAUAAUUGAGCACUAAGUUUCAAAUGAGAAGCAAGUGGGGUACUUACAUGUUUUGUGUUUUCAUUUACACCAAAACAUUGUAAUACCUUUUUCAGAUAUUGCUUCUGAUUCAAACAAAGCUUGCCUCUCUGUCUAUCUCUACUUAUCUCCAUGCCGAGAAUCUUCUUGGCCUCACUUAGAUCUUUCAUCUCGAACUCUUGAUUCAACUGAGCCUUCAGCUUAUCUAUCUCUUUUUGGCUCUUCGAAGCGAUUAACAUAUCAUCAACAUACAAGAGUAGAUAAAUGAAAGAUCCGUCAUGCAGCUUCUGCAAAUACACACAAUUGUCAUAUUUGCUUCUUGUGUAUUUCUGCCUUCUCAUAAAGCUAUCAAAUCGCUUGUACCACUGCCUCGGGGAUUGCUUCAAUCCAUAUAGCGAUUUGUUAAGCUUACAAACCCAAUUUCUACCACCAGCAUCUGUGUAUCCUUCUGGCUGAGUCAUAUAGAUCUCCUCUUCUAACUCACCAUGCAAGAAAGUCGUCUUAACAUCAAGUUGAGCUAGCUCUAAAUUCAACUGUGCUACCAAGGCCAACAAAAUUCUAAUGGAGGAAUGCUUCACAACAGGGGAAAAUACAUCAUUGUAGUCAAUUCCCUCCUUCUGAGCGUAGCCUUUAGCUACCAAUCUUACCUUGUAGCGAAUAUCCUUCUUGCUAGGAGAUCCAUCUUUCUUUGCGAAUACCCACUUGCAUCCGAUUUCCCUUUUACCUUUCGGUAAUUGCGCCAACUCCCAAGUAUUGUUCUUCCGGAGAGACUGCAUUUCUUCAUCCAUGGCGCUUUUCCAUUUAUCACUUUCUAAGCUUUGCAUUGCUUCUUGAUAAGUGAUAGGAAUAUCAUCAACAACGGGAAGGGCGUAGGCCACCAUAUCAGUAAAUCGAGCAGGUUUACGAAUUUCUCUCCAUGGCCUUGCAACUGCAACUGGUUCUGGUGUACUUAGUGGUUCUUGGGUCAGAACCUCUUCAACCUCUAAUUCCUCCAUUGUGGCUGGAGAAUUAGACUUAUUAACUGGGCAAAUCCCCAUCUGCUCAAACUCCACCUAUUUUGGAGUACACUCCACCUGCUGUGGAGUAUUGCUCGUCUGAAUAUCUUUAUCUGCUACCUUUUUCAAUGUGGCAGAUUCAUCAAAGGUAACAUCUCUGCUACAGAUCAUUUUCUUUGUGCUUAAGCACCAAAGACGAAAUCCCUUCACUCCAGAAGUGAUUCCCAUAAAGAGAGCUUUUUUUGCCCUCGGAUCUAACUUUGACUCCUUCACAUGGUAAUAUGCAGUGGUUCCAAACACAUGUAAGGAAUCAUAAUCUGUAGCCGGUUUUCCAGACCAUACCUCCAUAGGAGUUUUUCUUUCUAAUGCAGAUGAUGGCAAACGAUUAACAAGAUGGCCAGUGUAUGUCACAGCCUCAACCCAAAAUUGCUUGCCCAACCCAGCAUUGGACAACAUACAUCAAACUUUCUCCAGCAAUGUUCGAUUCAUACGCUCUGCCACUCCAUUCUGUUGUGGUGUAUCCCUAACUGUGAAGUGUUGAACAAUACCAUACUCUUGGCACACAUCGAAGAACGGAUCACUUUUAUAUUCCCCUCCAUUGUCCGUCCUAAGCCGCUUGAUUUUCUUGCCAGUCUGGUUUUCGAUCAUAGUUUUCCAUUUAAGAAAAACUCCAAGCACUUCAUCUUUAGUUUUCAUGGUAUACACCCAAACUCUUCUGGAAAAGUCAUCAACAAAAGUAACAAAGUAGUGUUUUCCUCCCAACGAAGGUGUUUUGGAAGGCCCCCACACAUCUGAGUGAAUAUAUUCCAAAAUACCUUUUGUAUUAUGGAUAGCAGUGCCGAAUUUCACUCUCUUUUGCUUUCCCAGAACACAGUGCUCACAAAAUUUUAAUUUGCAAGCCUUUGCACCUUUCAACAAUCCUUGUUUUGCCAGAAUUUGUAAGGAUUUUUCGCUGGCAUGUCCCAACUUCAUAUGCCACAACUGCAUUGAGUCCAAGUCUUUGUUACCGGAAGCUGCAGCGACUGCUCCAAUAACUGUACUACCUUGGUAGUAAUACAAGUUAUUUUUCCUGAUGCCCUUCAAUAUCACAAGUGCGCCAGAUGUCACUUUCAAAACCCCAUCUCUCAUAGUAACAACUGAACCAUUGGAUUCCAAGGCUCCCAAUGAGAUGAGAUUUUUCUUCAAACUGGGCACGUACUGAACAUCAGUCAGAACUCUGGUUGAUCCAUCUUUAUUCUUUAAUUGGAUUGAACCUAUCCCAACAAUUUUACAGGCAUUGUCAUUGCUCAUAUAAACAACUCCUCCAUUUAGUUCUACUAAAUCAGAGAACCACUCCCGGUUAGGGGACAUAUGAUAGGUACAACCCGAAUCCAAUAUCCACUCAUCUGAAUGGAACGACGAUGAUGAUGCAACCAGUGAUAGUUCAGAGUCACUAGUAUCAUGCUUAGCAACACAAGCAUCUACAGCAGCUUUUCCCUUAUUCUUCAGCUUUGGACAAUUUUUCUUCCAGUGGCCUUUCUCAUGACAAAAAGCACAUUCAUCUUUCCCGAGUCUGGACUUUGACUUUGAUAUCCCCUUUUGAGUUUUCUUCCGAGUGUAUGAACGACCUCGGACUACUAAAGCUUCUGUAUCUCUGAUUGAGUUUUUCUGUUUGUCCUUCUUUCUCUGUUCAUAACUGUAUAAGGCCGCACAGACUUCGCUCAGAGAUAUAUCACUCCUGCCAUGAAGUAGAGUAGUUUCUAGGAACUCAAACUCCUCAGGAAGUGACCCCAACAGCAUCAAAGCCAAAUCUUCAUCUUUGAAUGUCUCAUCCAUAUUCAGCAAAUCAGUGACUAACUGAUUAAAUUUGGUGAUGUGAUCAUUCAUUGUGGUACUUACGUAUGUGAAGCGAAACAGUCUUUUCUUCAAGUGGAGCUUAUUUUGACUGUUUUUCUUCAAAAAAAUUUCUUCAAGUGCCACCCACAACUUAUUUGCAGAAGUCUCCUUUGAAAAAGCAUACAUCUGCUCUCGAGAAAGGCAUGAUCGAAUUGUGCCACAUGCCAACCGAUUGAUCGCCUUCCAAUCUUUCUCCUGUACAUCAUCUGGUUUCUCUUCAUCAAUGGCAAUGUCUAGACCCUGCUGAAAAAGGGCAUCUAGAACCUCACUUUGCCACAUACCAAAAUGGCCCGUGCCAUCAAAGAUUUCCACGGCCAAUCUUGCAUUUGCAAUUGUCGGUCUUGUCCACAUGGACGAUGUUGAAGCUCCUACACCGACCGUUUUCUCCAUAAUCUUUCAAUAUAUCUAAGGAAAUCUUUUCUGAUGUGGAAGAUCAGUUUAAACUGCAACCACAGAGCAUACUACGAUUAACCUUCGGCUCUUGAUACCACUUGUUGUUCCAAUAGGGUCGGAAGCGUGUAAAUUAUUGUACUAAAAAAUCACACAAAGUUCAAUUCCCAGGGAAGAGAGGUGGAUCACAUGGAUCUCUUAAAUACCAAGUCUUUCCUUAGACAGAAUAUCCCUUCUAUAGUAAUUUAAUAGCACAAUUAAAUACUACUAUUAUACCCUCAAAUAUUGAAAGAAAAAUAGGACAAAAAAGAACACAAGAGAUUUAACGAGGUUCGGUAAAUUAUACCUACGUCCUCGGGCACUAACACCAGAUGAUAACUUUACUAUCUCCAAAGUAUUACAAACAAAUAGAAUUUCUUAAGAAUUCUCAAAUGGGAGAAGAGAGAAAACUAAGAGAGAAAGAUUGGUUGGGAUGAAUUGAAAUGAGAAAUGAGAAGGCCUAUUUAUAGUUGAGGUUCAAGGACCAAACAAUAAAUAGCCCAUUAUCUCAAGGACCAAAAAAAAUUAUCCCUUGCCACUUUUCCAAAGUUGGUGGUUGUCAUUAUUGAUUGUCUCCCAUUAAUGUUAAUGGCAACCAUUAUUAAUUGUCUUCCAUUAAUGUUAACACAUUAUGGCAACAUAAUGUGCAGGAUCCGAAUUGGCACCCGUAUAAGAUGAUCAACAUCCGAGGCAACUUGCAUACACCGAUUGCUCAGAAAACCGUACUGUUAUCAAACAUCUGUUGUUCUACGAAAUGCGAGCUGGUUCAUUACUCAAAACUUACAUAUUAAUGGGAUGCCUUCUCGGUAAUGCAGGAAAUAAUAGACAAGGAUGAUGAGAAGCUGAAGGAGUUGAGAAAUGAAUAUAGUGACACAGCGUACGAGGCUGUCAGCACCGCACUGAUGGAAAUGAACGAAUAUAAUGCCAGCGGAAGGUAUGCGAUCCCGGAAGUUUGGAACAGAAAGGAGGGAAGGAGCGCUACCAUGAAAGAAAUCGUUCAGUACGUCGAGCAACUGAAGAUUCACAAGCGUAAGCGAUUUUCUUAAUGCUGAGCUUAGCAGUCCAUUGCUUUCAUGGAAAAUAAGUAGAAUUAUACACAAUCCUUAGGUAGGUAUUAAAUUUUAGAAUUAUAUUUGACAUUAAAAAGAGCUAUUUGUUCAUUCCAGCAUGAGCUCCAAAAUUAGGCUCCAUAUUUACAAACCUAAAUUAAACUUACUCCAUAUUUACAAACAGAAAUUAAACCUACCUACGAUAGUUGCAUAAAAAAAUAUUAUCAAUUUAAAAAAAAAAGUAAUUAAGUUGUUGGUAUUUUUCAUUUAAUUAAAUACUUCACUUUUUAAAAUGUAUCAAAAACUUUCUUUAAAUUUUAAAAAAUAAUAAUUAAAUCUUUGUUUUUCUUUUACAUACUCAAUGGCUACUUCAACUAUCAAAAAAAAAAAAAAAAGAAAAGACUUUUUGACAAUUAAAAGUAACUGCUUUAAUUUUUUUAGUUAAAGUCAUUCAGCGUCACAACCAUACAGGCGUGAUGUGUAAUAAAAAAUUAUAAAAAAUAAAAAUUAAUAAAAUUAUUAAAUUCUAAUAAAAAAUAUAAAAAUAUUUAAAAUUUAUUUAAAAUGUCAUAAAUGUAUAAAUAAAAUAUAUUAAAAAUGUUAUUUAACCACUAACUUUAAUUGUUGACUAGUAAAGUCCAUAAUUUUUUUUUCAAUUAAAGCCAUCAUGUGUCGCAAUGCAAUGUGACCUGUGAUGAAAAAUUAUAAAAAUAAAAAUCAAUAAAAGUUACAGAAAAAUUAAAAAAUAUUUCUUUUGGUACAAUAAUUUUUAUAAUUUUUUUAUAAAUUUUAUAUUUUUAAAUUUUUAUAAUUUUCUUACUAUUUUAUAAAAUUUUAUAACUUUUGCAUUUUUUUAUAAUUUUAAAUAUUUUAUAAUUUUUAAAUUGUUUAUAAAUUUUAACUCUUUUUUAUUAAAAUUUAAUAAUUUUUUAACUUUGAUUUAUUUUUAUUUUUUUUAUAUUUUUUUACAUGUCACACUAUAAUUGUGACCUUUAGUGUUUUACCAAAAUAUUAGGAGUGGUUAAUUUUAACAUUCAACCGCUAAAAUUAACAAUCACAAGACUUUUAACAGUUCAAAUAUUCAAUUGGAUAAAAAAAUUUAUUAUUUAAUAAAAUAUAUUAAAAUAAGGGUUUCGACUCAAAUCAUGAUGAAUUGAGCCAUCGAACUUGAGAAAUUAAAAUGUGAACAGAAAUGGGCUCUUCAAAAACCCUUACCCGAGCCCAAGAAGAUCCCCCAAAAACCUUCAACUUAUAACCCUAAUUUGCCUCUCAACUACACUAUAAAUCCUAUCUUCAACAAGACUCAUUCAGCAUUUAUAUCUUCUAAAAAACCCUUCGUUCGUCUAAGGUUUCUCUUUAGAAAUUUUCUCUUCGCAGAGAGUAAUUUUUGCCUUCAUUUUUUUUUCUCUUUAUUUUCCCAUUUUCAAUCUGGGGUUUUUUCCAAAAUGAGUUAAAAAUCCAAUCUUUACACUAGAUGUGAACCCUAAUCACAUUUAUUUUAUCUGGGUUUUGAAUAAAAUCUACACUUGUUUGUAUACUUAUGAAAUAAAAGAACCAUUUUUAAUGCUUUGUUUCUUAACAAGAGUGCAGAAAUAAAAAGCUUGAUUUUUUGCUUCUUUUAAAACAAAGAAACCAAGGAUUAAGCAGCGGCCAGACAACCGUAGCGAUGAUAUCCACAGAUGAAGGGCUAAUUUCUUCUUUAAUCCCUUUUUUGUCUACUGAUUCCAUCUCACAUUUCGUUUUUUAAGUUUUUAGGGUUCAUCACUUUUGAAUUGAUUGAAAAAGCUCUAAUCAAAGUUGAAACUUGGUUAAAAAAUGGGUUUUUUUAUAUGAUUUUACCAUUUUCAAUGCUUUUUUUUUAUGUUUUUUCAAUUUGUAAAAUCAAAUGAGAAACAAUCUCAAAAAAGAAAAAACGACAUUAAUCUAUCAAUCAAUCAAACUGAUUUUGAUUUGAUCAGAUAAAAAAUCAUUAAAUAUCAUAUUCAUGGGAAUUGCAGAGGUUUACUGUUGUAAUUCUUACGAUAUUUUAUCAGAUAUAUUUUACAUCUUAAUAUAUCAUUAAUAUAAAGUCAAAUUUUUUUAACAGGUUAUAUUUUGAUAUUAGUCCCUAUAUUUUGUUGAAGUUAUGAAUUUAGUCUCUAUAUUUUUUAAAUUUUAAUAUUUUAGUCUUUAUUAAAUGAUAAUUGUUAAAAGUUAAAGUUUUGUUAUUUUUAAAAUCUAUUGCAUCAAACAUAUUAUCACAUGCUCAAUGUCAUGUCAACUUGUUAUUUUCAUGUAUUCUUUACUAAAAAUUUAAGGGUAAAUUAUCAAAAUAGUCACUUUUGUUUGACUCAGGUUACAUUUUAGUUACUUACGUUUGAAAUGUUACGUUUUAGUCACUUAUGUUAUCACGUUGUAACAUUUUAGUCACUGAGCCGUUAGUUUUUGUUAACGGUGCAACAGUAAACUGAUGUGGCACGUUAAAUCAUCAUUUCAAACAAAAAUUCUAGGUUAACUUAUACAAUCGGUCCUCAUAUUUUUUCGUUUUGAGCAAUUUAAUUUUUUUCUUUUAUGUUUUUUUUAACUUUCUUUCUUUUCCAUUCUCUUAUGCUUCUCUCUUUGUUUUCCUCCCUUCUCCAUUUCUUUCAACGUAGUUUUUCUAUGUUUUAUUUUUUUGAACAAUUUAAUUUUUUCGAGUGAGGCGAGCUUGUGGACUAGUUACAAAUGGAAAGCAUAGAAAAACUAUGUUAAAAGAAAUAAAGAAGGGAGGAAAAUAGAGGGAGAAGAAUAAGAGAAUGGGAAAAAAAGUUAGAAGAACAAAAAAGAAAAUUUUUAAAUUGUUGAAAAUGAAAAAAUAUAGGAACCAAUUGUAGAAUUUAACCUAAAAUUUUCGUUUGAAAUGAUGAUUUAAUGUGCCACAUCAACUUAUCGUCCAUUGUCGACAAUUAACGACUCAGUGACUAAAAUGUUACAACACGAUAACGUAAGUGACUAAAAUGUAACAUUUCAAACAUAAGUGACUAAAAUGUAACCUGAGUCAAACAAAAGUGACUAUUUUGGUAGUUUACCUAAAAUUUAAUUAAUAGAUUAACAACUGUUAUUUGAGUCGAAACUAAAAUAUAAAAAAUUACGACUUAAACUGAUCCAAUUAAAACAUAUGGACUAAAUCUACAACUGUGCUUACAAUACAUAAUUAGCAAUUGAAUUUAAACAAUUAGAUUUAACAAUAACUAUUUGUGUUAAAAGACUAAAAUUUAAAAAAGUACAGAGAGUAAAUUUGAAAUUUUGACCAAUUUGAAAAGUACAGAGACUAAAACUAACUAAAUUAAAGUACAAUGACUAAAUCCAUAAUUUUUAUAAAGUACAAGGAUUAAUAGAAAAUUGUAACCUUUUUAAUAAAGUAAUUUUGAUUUUUAUUAAUUUAUUUAUAUCUUUUGCUUUUGUAAAUAUAAUAUUUUUAAAUAUUAUUUUGAUUUUUUAUUAUUUUUCAAAAGUUUUUACUUUUAGAAUGAAUGGUCUAAUUUAACCUUCAGUCCAAUUCUUACAAAAUUGAUAAACACUAACAAUGCAUAAUUUAAUAAAACUUUUCAAGUAAUUUAUAAAAAAACACUCAAAUUAAGUAAAUUAAACACACAUUUCAUUUUAAAUUAAAAUUAUAAAUAUUUAUGUGUUAAAAAAUAAAAAUAAAGUAUCAUCGAAGCUGCGGGCUGCAAUCUUCCCAAGCAACUUCAGCCCCCAUUACUUCCCCACUCUUUUUUUUCUCUUUUUACCAACACUCAGAAAAUCAAAAUUUUACCACACUUUCCCUCAUUUUCCCGGAAAAUAAAAUAAAGAUAUUAAAACCAAACAAAAAUCCAAAAAAGGAACUCGGUGAAGAUUUAGAUUUAGACCCUGAAAUUUUUGCCAGUGAAAGUUUGACCAAAUUGCCAAUGAGAAGGGACAAUGUUCCACGAAGUAGAGGUCCGAUGGUCGCUGCCGGUGACCCUAGACGACAGAGAUUGGCCGACUAAAACGGCGUUGGAUUGCCAGUUUUGGCCUCAGUUUCGGCUCAUGCUCAUCCACUCCGUUUUCGACCCUUUAAUGCUUGCUUUCACGAUAUCGCCGGCGCCGGCCACGUUUGUGAUUAGGACCAAGUUGAAGUAUCGGAAACCGUUGAUUGUGAAUCUGAUUCCUCCUCGUUUCUGGCAUGGCACCCUGAAGAAUCAUACGAAAAAGGAAAUGAAGAUUGGGUCAAAUCUAUUGACACUAAUUGUUGAAGUUCGAAAAUCGGUCUAAUAUUUAAGAAGGUAAAAGCGUUUGAACGGGAUGAGAUCAUCUCAACAUAUUGGUUAGACCGCGAAUCGAUUAAAAUAUCGGAGAAAGUAACUUGAUCAAUUAACUCGAAACUAAUACAAAUCAAGAAAAUUACUAGACAAGUUAACUCGGGAUUUGAUACAUCUAAGUUUGAUUUUUAUUAUAUAUAAUUUUAAUUUCGGUUUUAAAAAUAAAAAGCUAAGGGAAUAUACCUUCUAAAAUAGAGAAUAAAAGGGGCGCAACUGGCUAAUCCUUUGUUCUAUUGGCUAUUGCUAAUGCCUUGGAAGUUGAAAGUGUACCUUACUUUGAUUAGUGAAUGGCCGAAUAUGCUUACAAGAAUAAAUUAAGAAAUUCAACGUGGCUUAACAUACAUUUGUAUUUACUGUCACAUGAAUUUGGAUAACAACGAUUGAGAUGGAGAGAAAAAUCAUAUCCAAUUAUGUUUAACACUAGCAUUACGUACAUAAGCUCACACCGACUGAAGAAAACUUUACAUAUACAAGUAGAAGAAAUUUCCGAAUGAACAAAGUCAGUCUUCGCAUCCUAGUUGUUGUUCCAUUCAAUCUCUGUAUGCCCAAAAGAAAAUGAGAGAAAACAAUUACUACGACUAAUGACAUUGUUGAUAACAGGAAAUAUCAUUGUCAGAGAAUUCAAGACUCAAGAGGGAGCAUAUAUAAUUAAUCUAUACUAUAUUACCAUACAUAUGCCCUCAAAUAUUUUUAAAAUUAAUCGUUCAAAUCUAAAUAUAUAUUUGAAAAGAGUAUACGAUAUUAUAAAGGAUCGUAAAAAUCGAAAUAAUAUUUAAUUCUAUAUCGUCUUCUAGAAAGAACAUGAGCUAUGGUGAUAAAAUAUUCGAAUUAUUCCUCUAAUCUCAUUUAUAUCAUAAUUUAAAUUUGAAGAACUUACGAGUAUCGAUGAGAAAACCCACAGGGUCUUUAAUGAGGGAGUUGUUUUAAUUUCUUGACUUAAAUUCAUUGAUUCUAAGGAAGCCUUUACAAACAGACAUAAUUAUUAAUUGAUCCAAUUUCAACAGCAUAAAGUAGGAUCAUAGGAUAAGGGCUUAGACAGAAACAACUUUAUUCUUUUUCUUUUAUGAGCGAAUCCAAAAAUUUUAUGUUGGGAGUUGUUUUUCCGCAAGUGGUGGGAACGGGCAUCAAUUAUUGCUUAAAAGUUAAGCUUGUAAUUUACAAUCAAGGCAUCCAUCAUUUUCUUCAUCCUGGUUAAUGAUAAUUCGAGAUAAAUGUUCCAUUUCCAGUUAAAAUAAAAAUUUUCUCAAGUUAAUUGUUUGAGGAGUAAAUUUAAAAAUAAUAAUAAGAUUGUUUUCUAAAUUAUAAAAAUAAAGAUACAUCAAAAUUAAAAUUUUAAAAAUAUAAAAAUUUUAAAAAUUAACAUAGAAUACACAUAGAUUGCUAUGUAGGUUGUCGUGUUUAAAAAUUUAACAUUUUAAUUAGUAUUCUAGUUUUUUUUUAAAAAAAACAUCAUUUCAGCUCUUUUUCAAAACUAAUAAAUAAGAUUAGAAAACUAAAAAUCGAAUAAAGAAUCGAAUUUAACUAGAUGUUGAGGCUUGUUUUACACAGUUUCCUUAACACAAAUUUGUCCGCUUCUACGGUACUUGGAGAAACAUUGGUCGACUGUCUCCCAUGAUACAAUAACACGAUGACUGAAAUAGCAUCACCUUUACAUGAAAUUGGCUGAUAUUAUGACGAUACUAGGUAGCAUAGAUAUCAUUAUGGGAGAAGUGGAUCGUUGAAAUGAUAAUUUAUACGACAGAAGUAGAAUAUAUCAAUUCCUUUUACACAUUGGAAUCUUUAAAAGAGGUCUAUGGGAUCAUAUGGAUGUUGGUCCCUAUUUUGACUCUUGUUUUGGGAAUCACAAUAGGUGUACUAGUAAUUGUAUGGUUAGAAAGAGAAAUAUCUGCAGCAAUACAACAACGUAUUGGGCCUGAAUACGCCGGUCCUUUGGGCAUUCUUCAAGCGCUAGCAGAUGGAACAAAACUGCUUUUCAAAGAAAAUAUUUUUCCAUCUAGAGGCAAUACUCGUUUAUUUAGUAUUGGACCGGCUAUAGCAGUCAUAAGAGACCAAUGAACAAACCUUGCAUUUUUCUGUCACCGGAACGUUGGAAAAUAUAGAGAGGAAAAGAGAAGAAUUUUCGAGAGCAAAAUAAACUUGGUUUUAGAGAGUCUUUUAGUGUAAAAAAUUUGAAGAAUUCUUAAGCAUUCAAGAUGGAGGAAUUUUGGAAAUAUCCAUAAUUAAAUAUAUAAAAUUUGUAUUAAAUGAGCAAUUAAAUCAUAAUAUAUGUCUUUUUUAAAUUAGAUUUUAUAUAUAUUUGCUGAGAAAAAUAAAUUUUGUGUUGGGCUUAAAAUAUCUAUCCCUUUUUGGGCCUGACCAGUUUAGACAUUUCACGUUGCCUACGUCGUGCGAGUGCGCUCCAACCCCGAUGGGUUUGGAUCUACACCCCUGCGCGUGAGACAAAGUUUCAAACUUAGUCAUUCAAUCAUCCUUCAAGUGGGUUCUCAUAUAUAGAGACAUCUCACACUUGGUAUUCAAUCAAUGUGAGAUCUAAGCUUUUCUUUUCCUCAACAAAUAUUCACAAGUAACUUACUUUGAGCAUUAAUUUCUCACUUAUCACUCAACCAUUUUGAGCAUACGAUAUACUGUUGUAAAGAUAUCAUUGAGUAGAAUAUAAAAUCAUAAUUUUAUGAUUCAAUUCUCCACCUUUACCAAUUGAGAAUAUGCUUUAAAGUUUCCAAAAAUUACAAUUUUUUCAACAUUUUAUACAUCUAUUUUAAAGGCAUAAUUGAGCCAAGUAGAGCCCGAAUAAUGACAAGUUGAACUUGACUCGAACAUCACUUUUUAAGGUCAAUCUUGAUUUAGAACAUAAUUGAGUUGAUUAAGCUCGUUUAUCAAUUUUUAUAAUCAAACCCAUUCAUAAUUAAGCUCUUUCUAUAUAUCAAGGAUAAAAAUGUAACUUCAUAAAUAAAAAUAUAUUUAAAUGGAAUGCUUAAUUAGGUUUGUGGCCUACUUGAAUCAAGUAUUACAAUAUUUAAAUUCGACUCAACCAAUAGCUCGAGCUCUACUCAAUAAUUUUCAAUAAAAUUUUGAGAUUUUUUGAAUCCAACUCGAAUUGCUUGCAAAUAUUAAUGUAUCACUUAUGCUUUUAAUUUUAAAUUUACAUUUUUAAUUCUUAAAAUAUUAUUAAAACCCAAUCAAUUGAAGGCUUUGUAGAAAGUGGUGGCAAAGUGCAUCCUUUACUUUAGGUCUCACUAUAUCUAAAAAGAAAUUAAUGCGAACCGUAGAAAGUGGUAGGAAUGUGCAUCAUUAUUGCUUUAAAAGAAUUUAAAUCUUUAAACGGAUAGAAUUAAAUUUUCAUAAUUUGGAGGAGUUAAAGUGUACUUCUUUUUACUAUUUUAAAAUUUUAAAAUUUUAAAAUUUUUUAAAGAGUUAAAAUAACAUUUUUUAUUUUAAGAGGGCCGAGCUCCCUGUCAACCUCUAGAUUUACCUCCGUAAAUUUCAAAAUUCAGUUAAAUUAUGUUAUUUUGAAUAAAACGUUAAUUGAUAAAGAAAUUCUUUUAGUUUCAAAAAUUCAAUUUUUCUGUUUUAAAAAAAUAUAUAUUAAAAUUUAAAAUUUAAAAUAUUAAAGUAAUAAAAUUUAAAUAUAUCAAUGUCUUUUUGAUACAUGCAUGAAUGGGGUGAAACUUAUUAGAUUCCAAUCAUCAAAACUGCCAAUUUUCAGGCUCGGAAAAUCAGCAGACUUGCGGCGACUGGAUCCUGGUAUUUUUGGGUUGAGAUGUCUCAUGGCGUUUAAAGAUCUAUCUCUUAGCUUUGAAACGCAUUUUGAAUAACUCGAUUUUGAGUUCGGGAGCUCAAGUUAUGACCGUUUUAGUGAAGACUACGCGAGAAGAAUUUCUGAACGGGAUUAUGACGGGAAUUACAAAUUUCGGGCUUUUAAUUCGAGUUUAAAUCAUAUUGGAUUCGGGUUUUAGACUUAAUUUUUAUUAUAUAUGAGCCCAAUAUUAUAUUUGUCAGAUCUUAUUAUUUUAUUAUUAUUUUAUUCUAAUUUUUUUUAUAAUUAUUAAGUAUUUUAAGUUAUUAGAGUUCUAGUAUUUUAAGCUAUAAAGGCCAGAAAAAUGUAUUCUUGGGGGUGAUUUUUGAAGGUAAAAAAGCAACAGAAAAUCAAUACAAAAUAAUCAAAAAUUUCAAACAAAAAAAGAGAGAUUUAGAAGGUAGUUUUUUUUUCUCUGUUUUUGUUUGUUUUAUUUAUUAUUUUUUCUUUCUUUUUCUAAACAGAAACACAGAAAAUAAAACGGGACCGAAAACUCACCUUUUUAGAGGGAGGGCUGAGAGAGAGUUGAGCAAGAAGAGAAGGAUUUUUUUUUUAAAAAAAUGAGGUUACCAAUGAUUUUUUAAAGUUUUUUUAAAUUAUAUAAACACCCCAAAACGACGUCGUUUUGAGUUUGGCUUCUGACACUUAAAACGGCGUCGUUUCACCCUUGACCCGCGUGCGACCUGACUCGCUCCAUGGGGAUCCUCGUGUUUUCAAUUUUUAGGCUAUUUACGCCUCUGGUCAUCCCGCGUUUUCCGGUUGUUUUAAUUUAGUCCCUUUUUUACUUUUUUUCUCUUUAUAUAUUUGGCCAUUGAUUUUGUGGCGUGUUUUAAUUUAGUCUCUGGCUCGCUAAAAAGGACGCGUGUCAAGGAGAUCGGGUUAUUUUCCCAUUUGGUUCUCGUUUGUUUUCGGGCCUUUCGAAUUAGUCCUUUGUUCUUUUUUUAUCUUAAUUUAUCCUGCUAAUUUAAUUUGAGUAGCAAUCGGGUCCUUUAUUCAUUUAUUUUUGUGUAUCUUUAUUGUGUAUCUUUAUUUAUUUUGCUUUAUUAUUUUUACUUUAUUACUCCUUUUUAUAUAUUUGUUUAAAAUUGGAUUGUGUAUAUGUUUAUUAGUUUUUUUUUUCUUUUGGUUAUCAUUCUUUUACUUUUUAAAUAUUUAAAUCUAAUAUUAUGAACAUUUACUUUAUCUAUUUACUUAUUUAUUUAUUAUUCUUUUACUUUUCAAACGCUUAAAUUUAAUAUUAUUUACAUUUGUUUUAUCUAUUAUUCACUUAUUUUUUCUUUUACUUCUAAAGAAAUUUUAAAUUCGAUAUUAUUCGUAUUUGUUUUAUUAAUUUAUUUUUUAUAUUUCAAUUUAAUGAUAUUUGUUUUAUCUAUCCAUCAAUUUAUUAUAUAUAUAUAUAAUUAGAUACCACUUAUAUUCAUUAAGCAACUUUCAUUUUCAUUUAUAUUUUGAAUUAUUUUAUUUAUUGUGUUGUGGUGUUAUAAAUUGAUUUUUUUAUUAUUGCUAUAUUCACUGUUAUUGCCAUAGUAUUUGGUCAUUUAGUUGUCAUUUAGUAUCCUAAUAUAAAUCGUACUCAUAGUCAUAUCACAUUAUUUCAUUACCAUUGUAUUAUACACUAGGUUCACACAUAUUUAUCCAUUUUUUUAUAGACGAUGCCCGAAUUAAACAUGUAUGCCUUGUAAGUGUUACAUUAAUAUUUUAUUCGGUGCACAAAAAGAAAAUUAUUUUAAAUAAGUAAUAUUUCGUAUUUUAGAAUUCGUAAAUUCGUUCCUUAACUUACGGAGUUUCGAUCUUCUCGAUAAAUCUAAAUAAAUGAACCUUUUUUAAAAACAUAAGUUUUUAAAUAAUCUCAGGAAUUAAGAAGAGAUCGUGUUCUAACUUAAUGGAUAUGGUUUCAUUCUAAAACUGAGAUAAUCGAAUAUCUUUUAAAAUAAAUAAAUUUUCGGUGUUUAUUCUCGUUUCGAGGAUUUAAGGUAUUGCGUCCUAACUUACGGGAAGUAAUCCUUUUUCUCGAUUAACGUAAAAUAUUUUUUUGUAAAAAUUCAAUUAAGCGAUAUUGUAACAAAGGAUGGUAUUUUAAAUCUCUUUAAAGUUUUUAAUUUUCGACAUUAAAACAUUAAUUCAUCAAUUAGGUACCAAUUUUUGGCGAGACGAGUGUGCUAAUCUUUCUUCGCACAUAACCGACUCCCGAACCCGUUUUUCUUAAAUUUCAUAGACCAAAAUCAUUAUUUAAGUAAAAUCGAAACGUUUUAUUAAAAUGAUUAAAUUACAAGGUGAUCCGAUCACAUCUCGAAAAAAUAUCGGUGGCAACUCCAGUUUUUUCAUUUUCAUUUUUAAAAUAAAAGUAGACCCCUUUUGUUUCAAAAAUGGAGAAAGUGUGUUCCUAUCUUUUGUCAGCUUUACCAAAAGGGAAAAUAAUUGGCGAUAGAAUGUUGCUUUCUUUUGUCAACUUUUUAGCUGUAUCCACUAAAUGAUAAGAACUGCAUUCUCAAGUAUUUGUGUUUCUUUAGGAUUCUAUUGUUUACAUCUCAAUUUUUUUUUUACAUUGAGUUGCACUUUGUCAAAUUACUUCUCGCAUUACUCUGUUAAGAAAAUUAUCUUUUCGCUCGUUCGUAACUACGAGAACUAAUCGCUGAAUCCUUCUCUUAUUCGUUGGAAAGGUACGCCAUCUGCUUUCAUUUUGGUUGAUUUGGUCUUACUUCUUGGUUUACAGAAGCUUUACUUUUUGCUCAUUUGAUUUGUAACUUUUUCUUCUGAUUUUGUUUUAAUCUUUGUUGUCGCUGUGGUUAUUCAGUUUACUUCUUGUUUGACCUCUCAAUGGAGUCUGUUACUACCCUAGUUGGCUCUAUUGUCACUAAAGCUGUAGAGUAUACGAUCUCUCCUAUCAAAAACCAUGUCAAAUACCUUUCCAAUCAUCAGCAAUAUGUUGAGACCCUCAAGGACCGAGCUGAGAGGCUGAAAGAUGCAAGGGACAGAGUGCAGCAUUCUGUUGAUGCAGCUCAACGAAACGGUGAAGAGAUCGAAGGGGAUGUUGGCAAAUGGUUGUCUGCAGUCGACAAAAAGAUUCUUGAACAAGCAGAGAAAGUGAUGCAAGAUGAAGAAAAAGCAAAGAAAAAGUGUUUCAUUGGUUUGUGUCCUAAUUUCAGGACUCGUUACAAGCUUAGCCUGAAAGCCGAAGAGGAGGCAAAGGCUGUUGCCGAGCUACUUGAACAUGGCAAGUUUGAAAGGGUUUCCUAUCGUGCAGCUCCGCAAGGUAUCGUGGUUGCACCAGUUAAAGGUUAUGAGGAAUUCGAGUCAAGAACGUCCAUUUUCAAUGGAAUAAUGGAGGCACUAAAAGAUGAUAGCGUCAGCGUUGUUGGGGUGCAUGGUAUAGGUGGGAUUGGAAAAACAACGCUGGUCAAAGAAAUUGCUAGAAAGGUCAAGGACAAGUUGUUUGAUUCGGUUGUCAUAGCAACCGUAACUCAAGCCAUCGAUAUUGAGAAGAUUCAGAACCAAAUUGCAGACUUCUUGGGCUUGAAAUUUGAGGAACAGAGUAUGGUUGGAAAGGCAUUUCGACUACGAGAAAGAUUGAAGAAAGAGGAGAGGAUUCUGGUUGUCUUGGAUGACAUUUGGGGAAAGGUUGAUAUUGAGGAAGUAGGGAUUCCUUUGGGAGAUGAACACAAGGGCUGCAAAUUACUAUUAACUUCUAGAGAGCUCAAUGUUUUAUCAAAUGGGACGGAUGCUCAGAAAAAUUUUCCCAUUGGGUUUUUAAAUGAAAAGGAAGCCUGGGACCUGUUCAAGAAGAAGGCUGGCGACUGUGAUGAAAGUUGCGAUUUGAAGCCUAUAGCUAUGGGGGUAGCCAAAAAAUGUGCAGGACUGCCGAUAGCUAUUGCGACAGUUGCAGGGGCUUUGAGAAACAAAAGAUUGUUUGAAUGGAAGAAUGCUUUACGAGAACUGGAGAGGCCUUCGUCAAGCAACUUCACGGGGAUAACUGCGGCAUAUUCAGCUAUAGAGUGGAGUUUUAAUUAUUUAGAAAGCGAGGAAGUUAAGCGGACUUUCUUGCUUUGCAGUGUAAUAGGCCAUAAUGGUCUCGUUGAGGACUUGGUAAGAUACACUCUAGGUUUGGGUUUAUUUGAUGGUGUCAACACUAUGGAAGAAGCUAGAAAUAAAGUAUUGACGGUUGCGGCUAAUCUCAAAGCGUCUGCCUUGUUGCUUGAUAGUUAUAAUGAUAAGCGCUUUGAUAUCCAUGAUGUUGUUUGGGAUGCUGCUAUAGCUAUUGCAUUGAAGGACUACCGUAUGCUUGUUUUGAGAGAUCAUGCUCCAAAGGAGUGGUCCGAUAAGGAGAAAAUGAAGACGUGGAGUGUGAUCAGCUUACGUUGUCCUCAGAUUAUAGCUAACCUUCCUAAGGAGAUGGAGUGCUCAGGACUUUCCUUUUUCCACAUGGCCUAUAAUGGCGCGGUUAAAAUUCCUCUCAAUUUCUUCAAACAAACCGUAGGCCUGAAAGCCUUAGAUUUGGUCGGAAUGCAGUUUCCAUCCCUCCCUGAAUCAAUUAUUCACCUUGCAGAGCUUCACAUGUUGUGUCUAAAAGGAUAUGCAGUUGAUGACAUAACCAUCCUUGGAGAGCUCAAGAGUUUAGAAGUACCCAACCUUUCUCGCUUAGGUAUCAAAGAACUACCUAAGGAGAUGGCACAAUCGACUCAAUUAAGGUUGUUAGAUUUGCGUGGGUGUAGAGAACUCAAAAUCAUCCCACCGAAUGUCUUAUCAGGUUUGUCUAAAUUAGAAGAAUUAUAUAUGAGUAGGAGCUUUGUUGAAUGGGAAAAGGGAGGAGUAGUUGAAAAUGAGAGGAAAAAUGCAAGCCUUGAUGAAUUAAACAAUUUGCCUUGUCUAACUACUUUAUAUGUUGAUAUUCUUGAUGUCCAAAUGAUACCAAAACACCGGUUUGUAGAAACAUUGGACAGAUUCAGGAUUUUCGUAGGUAAUUAUGGAGGAUAUAAUUGUUGCCAGAAUUAUGAAUCUCCGAAAGCAUUGAAGCUCAAGUUAUAUACAAACAUUGAUUUGGACAAUGGGAUGAAAAUGUUGUUGAUAAAGACAGAAGAUUUGUGCCUAGAGGGACUUGAAGGCGUCAAGAAUGUACUUGUGGAGUUAAAUAAUGGGAAAGAUCUUUCAAAUUUAAAGAGAUUUCAUGUCAAAAAUGGUAGGCACGUCCAACAUAUCAAAAUGAACAAAAUUGGAUUUUCUGAAUUAUGCUUCGUUAAACUUGAAAAUCUACCGCAACUCGUUAGCUUUUGCUCUCCAGACGAAAGGUGUUCCACUAAGCCCUUAUUACUUUUCAAUAAACAGGUAUUUGUUUGGCUUUACUUAUAUUUUCUUAUACUACUUUUAUUUAUAUGCCCAUUAAUACUUCUAAUAGUAGAAAUAAAUAAUAUUGUGUAAUGGUUUCUCCGGAGCUCAAAAAUAAAUUUCAAAUCCAAAACAAAUUAAAAUUUAAUUUUUAAUCCAAACCGAUUCAAAAUCAAUUCAAUAAUCUAAAUUUAAAUCCAACAAUUUUUUUUAAUUCUGAGAAUAAAAUUUGAGCCCACAAAUCGAACUAAAAUUAUCUUUAAAAUAAAAAAUCAUAUUUUCAAAUUAUGUUACAUACUAUCUUUCCCUAUGGAAAAAGAAUUGUGUAAAUAUGUGCAAUUUAUUUUCCCUCACUUGGAAAGCUUGUAAUUGUGUUCCAUUAACACGAAAAGAAUAUGGCACAACCAGACAUGUCAUUGGGUUACGAAUUUGAGGAGCUUGAUCAUCAAAGGAUGCGGCAAGUUGGAGCAUCUGUUAUCACCCUCUCUCGCUAGAAGUCUGGUGCAGCUCCAAUGCUUUGAGAUAGAGGAUUGCAAUUGCUUAAGGGACAUAAUACUUACAGAGGAAAUUGAAGAAGCAAGGAAAGAUGUGAUUUGUUUCCCUCGAUUAAACUCCCUGCAUAUAGAUCGUCUUCCAAACCUCAUCUUCUUCAACUCAGGAAACCACAAUAUUGAGUUCCCAUUGUUGAAAGUGCUAAAGAUUCAGCGUUGCCCCAAGUUAAUAGAAUUCAUUAGUCAGAAUAGUAAUCAGUCCGGCAUGCACGCUCUCUUCAGUGAGAAGGUGAUUUAUUUCAUUAGUCUUACAUUCUUGCAUAAAUCUGUUGAUUUGUCCUUGUUUUUUUUUCUGCCUUCAUUAUUUGAGCUAACCUUAUCAUGGGCAUGGAUUAUAUAUAUAUAUAUAUAUGAAUAUAUAUGAAUAGGUUGCAGUUCCUAGCUUGGAAGACAUCAAUAUCUGGGACUUGAGUAAUGUGAAGAUGAUAUUUUAUAAUGACCUAGCACCAGGUUCCUUUAAAAAUAUACGAAAAAUAAAUGUUUGGGGAUGUGGGAGUUUGAAAAAUCUAUUUCCAGUAUCAAUAGCCAAAGAUCUUCCACAACUUGAACAUUUAAGCAUCACUGAUUGUGGAGUUGAGGAGAUUGUAUCGAAAGGGGAUGGAGUGGAGGAGCAGCCUGUGAGGUUUGAGUUUCCGCAAGUAUCUUUCCUUGAGGUUACAUGGGUAGAAAAGCUCAAAUGUUUCUAUGAAGGGCAACAUACAAUAGUCUGGCCGAUGUUGAAAAAAUUGAGAACAGAUAGUUCUGCUUUGCUAAAGAUAGUGGCAUCGGAACAUCUUAGAUUAAUCCAAGGAAAUAAGCAGCCAGUUUUGUUGGGUGAAGAGGUAUGUAUAUCAUUACAACUAUAUUUCAUUUUAUGAUUUAAACCACUGCCACAAGCAUCUCAAGUUGAAAUAUGCCACGAUAAUGCAUUUCUAAUUUUUAUAUUUUGUUUUAUUUGGAUUUUUUUUUCGUAUUUUUGAAUUUUCAAUAUAUAUUUUAAAUUUUUUGUUACAUUUAUAAUUAUUUUUUCAUUUUUUUUAAAAACAAGACUGAAUAAACAUAAUAAGUAAAUAUUGAGUGAAUGCAAUUCAAUUUAAUAAAAUGUAUAAAUAUUGAGAGUUAAAUUUAUUAUUAUGUAAAAAAAAAGCUUAAAAAAAUGAAAAUAUUUUAUUUGUUUUUAAGUAUCCAAAAUGAAAAUAUUUUAACACUAAGUGACUGUAUAUGUAAUUUACCCUGCAUUUAAGUAGUGGGUCAAAACUAAAUAGAACGUUUAAUUUGCUAAAAACAAUUGCCACUCAAUAAAAAAUCAAAACUUUAAAAGUUAAUUACACUAGACAUCUCAAACUAUGACCUUCAUUUUAAAUUAGUCUUAAAAUUUAAAAUAUUCUAAUUACAUUCUUAAACUAUUGAGGUUAUAUCAAUUACGUCUUUCUCUUAUUAAAUUCGUUAAUUUAACCAUCAAAUUAAAUCAAUGUAAUAUUUUAAAACCUUGGUGUUUUAUCUCCACUAUUCUGCUUAUAUUUUUUGUCAUAGAAAAAUAUAUAUAUAUAACAAUGGUUGUUUAUCUAUUUUAAUCUAGAUUUGCUACUCUUCUUUCGGCUUUCAUGUUCUGUAAUUUUUAUCAGUUUUUAUUCUCAAGGUAUUGUGUUUUCUUAAAACAAAAAAUUCAUCUACUCUGGAUUCAUUUGAUUUAAUAUUGAUUUUGUUGGGAUUUAAUCAUCAAAAUCAAACACUAAAAUUGUAAAUCUCUUUUUUUUGUUUGUUUGUUUUUUUAAAGCAUAUACAUCAACAUUGAGCCUAACUUGUAUAUGUUUAAUUGGUUUCCAAGGUCAUUCCCAAAUUAGAGGAACUUGAGUUACGAAAUUUUGGUGAUAUGGACCAAUUUCCACCAGACUUGUUUCAACAUAUUAAAGUUUUUGCACUGAGUGGUGGCUCUCCAUUUUCUUUGUUUCCUUUCGUCCGAAGAUUCUACAAUCUGAAAAGACUUGAGGUUUCUAAUUUUGAUUUCAAACAUGUAGUCCCUUGUAAAGGAGACGUCGGGACUCUCCCAUCAAUUAGAAAUCUGAAAUUGGUUUCUGCCAGAAAUCUUAAGCGUAUUUGGAGGAAAGAUUCGGAGCUUGACCAUAUUCUUUCUGAUCUUCAAACACUCACAAUUCACAAUUGUGAUGAUUGGAUAAACAUUAGAGUCUUCUCAUCAUCUUUACAAAAUCUCACAAUUUUGAAUGUGUCACUUUGUAAAAUGAUGACAAACUUAGUUACACCCUCAGUACUUCAGAAUCUUGUGCAAUUAACGACAAUGAUCGUAAGAGGGUGCACUAAAAUGACAGAAAUAGUGGGAAACGAGGGAGACUGUCAUCAGACAAUAGUUGUUAGUAAAUUGAAAUGUUUACAACUAUGCAAUUUGAAGAGCCUCACAAGCUUUUGUCCAUGGUAUUACAACUUCGAGUUUCCUUGUUUGGAAGAAUUAGUUGUGGAACAUUGUCCUUGGUUAAAGAUCUUUUCUGAGGGAGUUUUAAGCACCCCACAAUUACAGAGAAUAAAACAGUCGCAUUACGGUGAGAAAUGGAGUUGCAAGUGAGAGUGGUGAUGCAAGUGAAAGCGUGGUUGGCGAAGGGGGCAUCUAUGAUAACACUGCAACUUUUUUCAGCAAUAAGGUAAGUUUGGUAUUCAAUAUUUAUCUGCACAACUUAUUUCACAUUUUCUUUUGAUUUGAUCAACAUGAGUGUGUCUGGUCUAUAUAUACAUACUAGUGCUACACCUUGUCAAAAUUGAAUAUAAUAAAAUCCAUAAAAAUAUUAAUAAAUAAGACAAUAUUUAAAAGAAAAACUGGAGUUUAAAAGUAUAAAUAAAUAUAUAAAAUAAGAAUUGAAGGAAAAACUUAAAGUGAAAUACUAAAAAACAAUAAGAAUUUAAGAGAAGUUUAAAAUUAAAUAGUAAUAGACAAUAAAUAAUAAAAUAACAAUAGAAAAAAGAAAACUAAUCUUCCUUUAUUUUAAUUUGUGGGUGUAUAAGAAGGAGAUAAUUGUGGAAGACCUUCACAAAGGUCAUUUGAGAUCAAAGGAGAAGAAGCAUGAAAACAAAAGGUGAGGAGUUUGAAGAAGAAAGAACCAAAUAUAUGGGUUUGAUUUAAAGAUUUAAUGUUUUUUUUUUAAUUUCAUAUAUAGAAAAAAUCAUUGAAAGAAAAAAAAAGUUCAAUAUAAUUACUUAAAUUUACCUGUCGGUUUUUAUAAAAGUAACUUAAAUUUUUGAUUAAUUAUGAAAAUGACUCAAUUUAAAAAUUAUGUACAUAAAUUAUUCGAUUUCUAUAGUGUUUGUCGGUGCCCCCAGACACAAUGGCGAUAUCAGACUGAAGUGUGAUUAUAUAAAAUGAUUGUAUUUAUGUACAUAAUUUUUAGUAGUGUUGUUGGAAAAAUUGGCGAUAUCAGACUGAAGUGUGAUUAUAUAAAAUGUUCAUGGACUUAACGAAGUAAUUACCCUUUUUUAAUUAGCGGAAAAAGGGGUCUUCCGGUGAAUAUGGGGCACCAAAUUAAAUGAUUUUCAUCUUUUGGUCUAUUUGCAUGUUUCCCUUUUUGAAAUUAAAUUUAGAUAACCCUUAAGAAAUAUAAGAAUAACAAAAAGAAAUCAUUCUCAUUUAUUUUAUUUUAUUUUUAAAAAAUAAACUUAAAAAAUUAUAUAAAAUGCUUAUUUAAAUUACCCAAAUAUAUCCCUCACACAACUUCCUCAAGUUUAUCUAAAUUCAAGCAUUUUCAAUUCAUUCCCUAGAAUAUUUAAAUUUAGAUAAACUUAAGGAAAUUUUUUGAGGAAUAUAUUUGGGUAAUUUGAAUAAGAAUUUUAUAUAAUUUUUUAAGUAUUUUUUUUCAAAAAAAAUGAAAAUGUUAUAGUUUUGUUAUUAUUAUAUUUUUAAGUGCUAUUUAAAUCUAACUUCAAAAGAGGACAAACGUAACAUGCAAAUAGGUCAAAUGUUGAAAAACAUUUAAUUUGGUUCAGAUACCAACGACACCCCUUUUUCAACCAAUCUAAAACCGUUAACCGCUUCAAAAGAUCCCUGCACGUUUUAUAUAAUCACAUUCAGUCUGGUGCCGUCAAUUUAUUAGGCAAAACCACUACAAUCUUUUUUAAAAAGCAAUCAUUGGCUGAUGAUGGAGGUCAAUGCAAUAAGCACGAUAGAUAUCAAGUCAUUUACGUAUAUGAUUUUUAAGUUGGAUCAUUUUCGUAAUUAACCAAAAAAUUUUGGUUACUUUUAACUGCCUAGUUGAUAUGUGAAUAUUAACCUUUAGAUCAGUUUAUAAAUCUUCAUACUCAUCUACUCAUUUUGAUUGUCUUUCAAAGUACAGAAGGAAGACUGAUACUAUCUUAUAAUAAUAUUUAUGUCAACAGGUUGUCGUUCCUCGUUUGGAGCGUCUGGAUUUGUCCUCGAUCAACAUUCAUAAGAUAUGGCACCACUCAUCCUCCCCAUCUAUCGGAUACCUAAAUUUCUUGCGGGUGAAGAGGUGUCACAAUUUGAAAUACCUGUUCCCGUUUUUCUUAGCAAAAGAUCUUGAGCAACUCCGAUUCCUUGGAAUUUUGGACUGUAAUAUGAUGGAACAAGUAAUAUUCACGGAUGGAUUGGUUGAGGAACAUCAAGGGAGGAAUCAGAUGUUUUUCUUUAAUCUACAUUCGCUGUGGCUAAACGACCUUCCCAAAACUCACAAGUUUGUGCUUUGAAAAUUACUUUGAAUUUCACUGUUUAGCAGAUUUAACACUAAGAAAUUGUCCAUUGCUAAAAACAUUCAUCUCUAAAUGUGUACCCGGAGAUGAACCUCAAAUUGGCCAACAUGUACAGGCAAGUAACUUGGAGGUUCAUAACUCAUCUCUCCUCAAUGAAAAGGUAAUUUCUUCAAGGAUCCUCCUUUUAAUUUAUGUUACUUCGAUUGAUUUUAUUCAUUUGAAGUUCUUUC
This 43098-nucleotide long non-coding RNA is filed under the name Gossypium barbadense (sea-island cotton). RNAcentral's name for it is "long non-coding RNA (GBAR_LNC020361)". The stretch from base 25798 to 25955 matches the Rfam family "small nucleolar RNA snoR143". Lineage: Eukaryota; Viridiplantae; Streptophyta; Magnoliopsida; Malvales; Malvaceae. The record is from RNAcentral.